GACGAACGCUGGCGGCGUGCUUAACACAUGCAAGUCGAACGGAAAGGCCCUGCUUUUGUGGGGUGCUCGAGUGGCGAACGGGUGAGUAACACGUGAGUAACCUGCCCUUGACUUUGGGAUAACUUCAGGAAACUGGGGCUAAUACCGGAUAGGAGCUCCUGCUGCAUGGUGGGGGUUGGAAAGUUUCGGCGGUUGGGGAUGGACUCGCGGCUUAUCCGCUUGUUGGUGGGGUAGUGGCUUACCAAGGCUUUGACGGGUAGCCGGCCUGAGAGGGUGACCGGCCACAUUGGGACUGAGAUACGGCCCAGACUCCUACGGGACGCAGCAGUGGGGAAUAUUGCACAAUGGGCGGAAGCCUGAUGCAGCAACGCCGCGUGCGGGAUGACGGCCUUCGGGUUGUAAACCGCUUUCGCCUGUGACGAAGCGUGAGUGACGGUAAUGGGUAAAGAAGCACCGGCUAACUACGUG
This 468-nucleotide ribosomal RNA is filed under the name uncultured bacterium. RNAcentral describes it as "partial 16S ribosomal RNA". It matches the Rfam family "Bacterial small subunit ribosomal RNA", at positions 28 to 507 of the family's 1533-position model. The record is from RNAcentral.